Molecule: long non-coding RNA, 348 nt
Organism: Dioscorea cayenensis subsp. rotundata (Guinea yam)
Lineage: Eukaryota; Viridiplantae; Streptophyta; Magnoliopsida; Dioscoreales; Dioscoreaceae
Exons: 3
Source: RefSeq, a predicted model, not a curated record
UGUGAUCUCCUCCGGCGAACUUCCGGCAAUCCUCCAGUGAACGUCCGAUGAUGAGUUUGUGGACUCAACCGCAUAGAUUUCUUUUCCUGAUUUUGUCAAUCUUCCAUGAUCGUUUUAGGGAGUGGUCUUGGACCUCAUUUUUGCACUUAGGCAAUACCAGAUCAAAAGUGAUAGAUCGGCGUGCAUCUUGAGAGAUUGUCUGUAGUUGUUGUCUUAUCCUAUUGUAAAUUUUAAGUUCUUGUUAUUGUGUAUCCCUGUAUUUUGUAUUUUGGACUUCUAUAUCCAAGUAUUGUGUACUUUGUAGAGUUUGUAAUCUUGUAACUCAGUUGGGUUAUUAUAAUUUUGCCU